Molecule: ribosomal RNA, 253 nt
Filed under: uncultured bacterium
Lineage: Bacteria
Description: partial 16S ribosomal RNA
Rfam family: Bacterial small subunit ribosomal RNA
Source: RNAcentral
UACAGAGGUGGCAAGCGUUGUUCGGAAUUACUGGGCGUAAAGGGCGCGUAGGCGGCUUUCUAAGUCGGACGUGAAAUCCCUAGGCUUAACCUAGGAACUGCGUCCGAUACUGGGAGGCUUGAGUUCGGGAGAGGGAUGUAGAAUUCCAGGUGUAGCGGUGAAAUGCGUAGAUAUCUGGAGGAAUACCGGUGGCGAAGGCGGCAUCCUGGACCGAAACUGACGCUGAGGCGCGAAAGCUAGGGUAGCAAACGGG